RNAcentral lists this ribosomal RNA (159 nucleotides) under foliar endophyte of Picea glauca sp. M6. RNAcentral describes it as "5.8S ribosomal RNA". It matches the Rfam family "5.8S ribosomal RNA". Rfam says of the family: 5.8S ribosomal RNA (5.8S rRNA) is a component of the large subunit of the eukaryotic ribosome. It is transcribed by RNA polymerase I as part of the 45S precursor that also contains 18S and 28S rRNA. Lineage: Eukaryota; Fungi; Ascomycota. The record is from RNAcentral. RNAcentral also lists the same sequence under 2 other names.
UUAAAACUUUCAACAACGGAUCUCUUGGUUCUCGCAUCGAUGAAGAACGCAGCGAAAUGCGAUAAGUAGUGUGAAUUGCAGAAUUCAGUGAAUCAUCGAAUCUUUGAACGCACAUUGCGCCUCCUGGUAUUCCGGGAGGCAUGCCUGUUCGAGCGUCAU